GAUGAACGCUGGCGGCGUGCCUAAUACAUGCAAGUCGAGCGAACAGACGAGGAGCUUGCUCCUCUGACGUUAGCGGCGGACGGGUGAGUAACACGUGGAUAACCUACCUAUAAGACUGGGAUAACUUCGGGAAACCGGAGCUAAUACCGGAUAAUAUAUUGAACCGCAUGGUUCAAUAGUGAAAGACGGUUUUGCUGUCACUUAUAGAUGGAUCCGCGCCGCAUUAGCUAGUUGGUAAGGUAACGGCUUACCAAGGCAACGAUGCGUAGCCGACCUGAGAGGGUGAUCGGCCACCCUGGAACUGAGACACGGUCCAGACUCCUACGGGAGGCAGCAGUAGGGAAUCUUCCGCAAUGGGCGAAAGCCUGACGGAGCAACGCCGCGUGAGUGAUGAAGGUCUUCGGAUCGUAAAACUCUGUUAUUAGGGAAGAACAAAUGUGUAAGUAACUAUGCACGUCUUGACGGUACCUAAUCAGAAAGCCACGGCUAACUACG
This 495-nucleotide ribosomal RNA is filed under the name uncultured bacterium. Its description in RNAcentral is "partial 16S ribosomal RNA". It matches the Rfam family "Bacterial small subunit ribosomal RNA", at positions 28 to 505 of the family's 1533-position model. The record is from RNAcentral.